RNAcentral lists this ribosomal RNA (921 nucleotides) under Acrobeloides apiculatus. Its description in RNAcentral is "SSU rRNA". It matches the Rfam family "Eukaryotic small subunit ribosomal RNA", at positions 39 to 966 of the family's 1831-position model. The record is from RNAcentral. Lineage: Eukaryota; Metazoa; Nematoda; Chromadorea; Rhabditida; Cephalobidae.
AAAGAUUAAGCCAUGCAUGUCUAAGUAUAAACGAUUUAAUCGUGAAACCGCGAAUGGCUCAUUAUAACAGCUAUAAUUUACUUGAUCUUGACACAAUCCUACUUGGAUAACUGUGGUAAUUCUAGAGCUAAUACAUGCAUUAAAGCUCUGACCUCACGGGAAGAGUGCAUUUAUUAGAACAAAACCAAGCGGCUUCGGCUGUUUCUGGUUGACUCAUAGUAACUGAGCUGAUCGCACGGUCUUGCACCGGCGACGUGUCUUUCAAGUAUCUGCCGUAUCAACUUUCGAUGGUAGUGUAUCUGACUACCAUGGUGAUCACGCGUAACGGAGAAUAAGGGUUCGGCUCCGGAGAGUUCGCCUGAGAAAUCGCGAACACAUCUAAGGAAGGCAGCAGGCGCGAAAAUUACCCACUCUCAGCACGAGGAGGUAGUGACGAAAAAUAACGAGACCGUUCUCUUAUGAGGCCGGUCAUCGGAAUGGGUACAAUUUAAACCCUUUAACGAGUAUCUAUGAGAGGGCAAGUCUGGUGCCAGCAGCCGCGGUAAUUCCAGCUCUCAAAGUGCAUAGAAUUAUUGCUGCGGUUAAAAAGCUCGUAGUUGGAUCUGUGCCAUAGGACGUGGUCCACCUUCGGGUGCGUACUACGCUCCUAGGCUUUUUGCUGGUUUUCCCGUCGUAGCCUUCACUGGUUGCGGCGGGUGGCUGGCGAGUUUACUUUGAGAAAAUCAGAGUGCUCAAUACAGGCGUAUCGCUUGAAUGAUUGUGCAUGGAAUAAUAGAAAAGGAUUUCGGUCCUCUUUUAUUGGUUUUGUGGACUGAGAUAAUGGUUAACAGGGACAAACGGGGGCAUUCGUAUCUCUGCGUGAGAGGUGAAAUUCUUGGACCGUAGAGAGACGCCCUACUGCGAAAGCAUUUGCCAAGAAUG